GUUCUGUCUGUCAGCCGCUUUGGUACGCUGCAUCGGGAUCGAAGUGACGGACCGUGAAGGCGCGAGAGUCAGGUCUGAGGGUCGGGGGCAGAGCCGCCCGCGAGGCUGGCCUGGGGAUAGCGGUGCUCGGGUUCCCCCCGGGUCGCCCGCAGCUCCCGGUCCAGCUCCGCCCACAGACUCGGAUGGCGACCGCACUGAGGGACCCGGCUUCGGGCCGUGGGAGCCAUAGAGAGCUUGCGCAAACGAGAGACACCAUCUGAGUUAAAUUUGAAAAAUCCUCUGCAGGCUGUUCAGUGGAAGAAAAGACUUUAGAGAUGGAUGAGGACGUUGAGGCAGAGGGAGGUUGAAUAUUUUUCCAAGGCCACACAACUGGUGAGAGGCAGCACUAAGGACCGAGGCGCACAGGUUCCCAUAGCUACAGAGGUGCUUUUCAAACUUACACAGGUAAGUGGAGGUAUCUCA
RNAcentral lists this small RNA (462 nucleotides) under Pan troglodytes (chimpanzee). Its description in RNAcentral is "retained intron". Lineage: Eukaryota; Metazoa; Chordata; Mammalia; Primates; Hominidae. The record is from RNAcentral.